RNAcentral lists this ribosomal RNA (179 nucleotides) under Lobelia cymbalarioides. RNAcentral's name for it is "5.8S ribosomal RNA". The stretch from base 6 to 161 matches the Rfam family "5.8S ribosomal RNA". Rfam says of the family: 5.8S ribosomal RNA (5.8S rRNA) is a component of the large subunit of the eukaryotic ribosome. The record is from RNAcentral. Lineage: Eukaryota; Viridiplantae; Streptophyta; Magnoliopsida; Asterales; Campanulaceae.
AAAACGACUCUCAGCAACGGAUAUCUCGGCUCUCGCAUCGAUGAAGAACGUAGCAAAAUGCGAUACUUGGUGUGAAUUGCAGAAUCCCGUGAACCAUCGAGUCUUUGAACGCAAGUUGCGCCCGAAGCCAUUAGGCCGAGGGCACGUCUGCCUGGGCGUCACGCAUCGCGUCGCCCCCC